This 272-nucleotide long non-coding RNA is filed under the name Vigna radiata. Its description in RNAcentral is "long non-coding RNA (VRAD_LNC017197)". Lineage: Eukaryota; Viridiplantae; Streptophyta; Magnoliopsida; Fabales; Fabaceae. The record is from RNAcentral.
UGGNCGUUCUCCCCUGUCAAAAGAAUGACUCUGAAUUCGUAAUAGGGGUAUUUAAAGGUGAGGAGCGCGUCAAAAACAGGCCCAAGUCAAGCGUGCCACCGCCGGGCGGUUUAAGUGUGCCGCCCGGUGGUUUCCCAUAACCUGCCGCCACCGCCCGGCGGUUUCCCAUAUCCUGCUGCUGCCGCCCGGCGGUUUCCCUCAUCGUGAAAUGCCCUGCCUACUCCUCGACUCUUCAAAACUUUAUUUUUCUACUCUUUUCUUGAAUCAACGAC